UGGGGAUUAGGGCUACGUCAUUGAAUCCAUCAAUAGGGUCGCUGGUAACAAUGAGGGGAGAAGUUGGCAAAUAUCAAACCAGCAUGGAAAACUGAACGUUGGUGUCAGUAGCUAUAUUCCUCAAGAAGAUGACACAAUUGUGCUCGAAUUAGCUGAUUCGAGGACAUUUAAAAUAACCAUCAGGAAUAAUUUGCUUGAGCCAAACUUUUGCCACACCAUUACACAAGUCAUUGAAGACCGCAAGACACUGAUUCGUUACCUAGAGUCAGCUGCGAGGAAUCAACAAGGAUUCAGAUUUACAGGAACGUACUUUGGUGACCUGGGUUACUUCAUGAACUCCUUUAAUGGUGUGACUUCUGACUGGGAUAAUGACAGAACAUCUUGGAAAAUGUACAACCAGUAUGGAGAAAUUACAGUCGGCGUCAGUACUUAUAUCCCAAUAGAUAAAGACGAACUUGUAUUUGAGCUAGUUAGAAGUGAGAAAGAAGAGACAUGUGAAAACCAUUAGCGUUUUGAUGUCAGAAUAUCGUGUGCCAUGAGCGUUAUAACAAACUUUAUACAUGUAUCUUAUACUACUGUAAUUCUGUUGUUAGCCUACUAAUACCGCUGGUUAUAUUACAAUGUCAGUGUGCUAACGUCUCAGAGCCCAUCGAGUCAUUGUCAUAUCUUAUAGCUAAUAUAAACAUAUAUGUGAUGAAACAAAACAAUAAAGAUACAAUGAAAGCUAAUAGGUUGGGUACAAGUGCUUCUAACAUUUGCUAACAAAUAGUCUUCCAUUUGAUGUCAACAAGAUGUUAUAUAUAGGAAGGAAGGAGCCUGCAGGUGGUCUACUCUUACGAAAUCAAGUGAUAGUGGUUAUUUAAUUUUUUAACGAAAUGCAUAGUUUUGCUCAUUAUCGUAUUUUAAUCUAACCUUGUGACUUAUAGAAACUCAUACGACCAUAGGCUGUCUUUCAUCGAACAGCAUAAUCCUUUCUUUUUCUCUCAUAUAUCCCAGAACGAUUAUGACGAAUUUUUGUUUAAUAGUAAAGGAAGUACUCUUUGUGUUGCUUAUUUACUUAAUGACAAAACAUUAUGGUGACUUUAAUACAUAUUUGCCAAAAUUCGAAAUGUUAAUUGACAUAUGUACAAUUUAAAAAUAUGCACGAUGAAAUGUUUACUUGACGCGAGGGUUGAAAUAAUAUCAUUUUCAGCUAUGCUGAAUACUUUUAAAAUACUAGUAUUUAAUGUUAACAUGCUAUAUUGUGCUUUAAAUAACACGUAUCAAACAAUUUUGAACAUGUAAUUGUUUAUUAAAAUAUUGACAACAACAAUAUAUAUUACAUGUUAAAAGAUUAAGGACAGCUUGCUGUUGUCAAAAGAUAUUUGUUACUAUAUCCAAUUUGAUACUAUGUUCCAAGUAAUACGAGUAUUUAUUAAAUUCAUUUAUUUUAAUACAUGUACAUGUCAAUACGAUAAAAGAUAAUAAUUAUUUUACGAUUAAGACAUUCGAGAAAAGUGUAAGUACAAUUCGAAUACAAAGCGGAGAUGAUGUCUUUGACCCUCUUAGAAAGGAAUACAAAAGAAUAUAAUAUCGGACUUUCCAUUUAUUAUCUAUGUUUGGUAUUAAUUAUUCCCACUGUUUGAUAUUGUAAACAAAAUUUCAUGUUAUCAUGUUAUCAUUUAACUUGAUUUUUUAUUCAUUUAGUUUUGAAUUUGAGAUUUUGAUGUCUUUCUUUUUGUGUGAACUCUUAAUAAAGUGUUUAAAGUCCUUUUGAA
This is a long non-coding RNA of Mercenaria mercenaria, 1757 nucleotides long. RefSeq lists it as uncharacterized. The record is from RefSeq and is a predicted model, not a curated record. Lineage: Eukaryota; Metazoa; Mollusca; Bivalvia; Venerida; Veneridae. The transcript has 5 exons.